GACGAACGCUGGCGGCGUGCCUAAUACAUGCAAGUUGAGCGAUGAAGAUUGGUGCUUGCACCAAUUUGAAGAGCAGCGCACGGGUGAGUAACGCGUGGGGAAUCUGCCUUUGAGCGGGGGACAACAUUUGGAAACGAAUGCUAAUACCGCAUAAUAACUUUAAACAUAAGUUUUAAGUUUGAAAGAUGCAAUUGCAUCACUCAAAGAUGAUCCCGCGUUGUAUUAGCUAGUUGGUGAGGUAAAGGCUCACCAAGGCGAUGAUACAUAGCCGACCUGAGAGGGUGAUCGGCCACAUUGGGACUGAGACACGGCCCAAACUCCUACGGGAGGCAGCAGUAGGGAAUCUUCGGCAAUGGACGAAAGUCUGACCGAGCAACGCCGCGGGAGUGAAGAAGGGUUUCGGAUCGUAAAACUCUGUUGGUAGAGAAGAACGUUGGUGAGAGUGGAAAGCUCAUCAAGUGACGGUAACUACCCAGAAAGGGACGGCUAACUACGUG
RNAcentral lists this ribosomal RNA (497 nucleotides) under uncultured bacterium. RNAcentral's name for it is "partial 16S ribosomal RNA". It matches the Rfam family "Bacterial small subunit ribosomal RNA", at positions 28 to 507 of the family's 1533-position model. The record is from RNAcentral.